GCCAGUGUGGUGUAGUAGCUUGAGUGCUGGACUAUGAUUCUGGAGACCAGGGUUCGAAUCCUGGCUUGGCCA
Molecule: non-coding RNA, 72 nt
Organism: Phrynosoma platyrhinos (Desert horned lizard)
Lineage: Eukaryota; Metazoa; Chordata; Lepidosauria; Squamata; Phrynosomatidae
Source: the annotation of a GenBank genome assembly